RNAcentral lists this ribosomal RNA (253 nucleotides) under uncultured microorganism. Its description in RNAcentral is "partial small subunit ribosomal RNA". It matches the Rfam family "Bacterial small subunit ribosomal RNA", at positions 524 to 776 of the family's 1533-position model. The record is from RNAcentral.
UACGUAGGUGGCGAGCGUUGUCCGGAAUUACUGGGCGUAAAGGAUGCGUAGGUGGAUAAUUAAGUCAGAUGUGAAAAUCCCGGGCUCAACUUGGGAACUGCAUUUGAAACUGGAUAUCUAGAGUGCAGGAGAGGAAAGCGGAAUUCCUAGUGUAGCGGUGAAAUGCGUAGAUAUUAGGAAGAACACCAGUGGCGAAGGCGGCUUUCUGGACUGUAACUGACACUGAGGCAUGAAAGCGUGGGGAGCAAACAGG